RNAcentral lists this ribosomal RNA (753 nucleotides) under uncultured bacterium. Its description in RNAcentral is "bacterial SSU rRNA". It matches the Rfam family "Bacterial small subunit ribosomal RNA", at positions 108 to 851 of the family's 1533-position model. The record is from RNAcentral.
GAGUAAUACAUAAGUAACCUGCCCCUGUGCGGGGGAUAACAGGAGGAAACUCCUGCUAAUACCGCAUAGCCAUGAGCACCGCAUGGAGCUCAUGCCAAAUAUCCUUUCGGGGAUAGCGCAGGGAUGGACCUAUGGCGCAUUAGCUUGUUGGCGGGGCAACGGCCCACCAAGGCAACGAUGCGUAGCCGGCCUGAGAGGGCGGACGGCCACAUUGGGACUGAGACACGGCCCAGACUCCUACGGGAGGCAGCAGUAGGGAAUUUUCGGCAAUGGGGGAAACCCUGACCGAGCAACGCCGCGUGAGCGAAGAAGGCCUUCGGGUCGUAAAGCUCUGUUGUAAAGGAAGAACGGCGCAUACAGGAAAUGGUAUGCGAGUGACGGUACUUUACCAGAAAGCCACGGCUAACUACGUGCCAGCAGCCGCGGUAAUACGUAGGUGGCGAGCGUUAUCCGGAAUCAUUGGGCGUAAAGAGGGAGCAGGCGGCCGCAAGGGUCUGUGGUGAAAGACCGAAGCUAAACUUCGGUAAGCCAUGGAAACCGGGCGGCUAGAGUGCGGAAGAGGAUCGUGGAAUUCCAUGUGUAGCGGUGAAAUGCGUAGAUAUAUGGAGGAACACCAGUAGCGAAGGCGACGGUCUGGGCCGCAACUGACGCUCAUUCCCGAAAGCGUGGGGAGCAAAUAGGAUUAGAUACCCUAGUAGUCCACGCCGUAAACGAUGGUCACUAAGUGUCGGGGGUCAAACCCCGGUGCUGCAG